Molecule: unclassified non-coding RNA, 2830 nt
Filed under: Hevea brasiliensis (rubber tree)
Lineage: Eukaryota; Viridiplantae; Streptophyta; Magnoliopsida; Malpighiales; Euphorbiaceae
Source: RNAcentral
GUAAAACUGGCCCCACCACCACCACCCUCAACCCCUACCAUCCCCAGUUCUGCCACAUGCAACUCUAGUAAAAGUAUAAAACUGAAUCCAAGAUCUAGGGUUUUAAUCAUGCAUUUAUCUUCUCAAUGCUCAUCUUUCUAGGGUUUCUUCCCAGAUUCCCUUAUCAAUUAUGCUUUCUUUCUUGAAAUUCGUCUUCUUCUUGCUCCCAAUUUGGUUCUUUCCGCAAUCCUAUAAUGGCCGCAUCUUCACCUUCAAGAUGCACCACCGCUUCUCUGACUCGCUCAAGAACUGGUCUUAUUCCGCUAAUAAUCACUUCCCUUUAGGAAAAUGGCCGUCUAAGGGAAGUUUCGAGUACUACGCAGAGUUAGCCCACCGUGAUCAGAUUCUACGUGGCCGUAAACUCUCCAAUUUAGACGCACCGCUCGCUUUCUCAGACGGGAACUCCACUUUUCGAAUUAGCUCUUUGGGAUUUUUGCAUUACACGACGGUGGAAUUGGGUACGCCAGGAGUAAAGUUUAUGGUGGCGCUUGAUACGGGAAGUGAUCUGUUUUGGGUGCCUUGCGAUUGCAGCAAAUGUGCGCCUACUCAGGGCACUGUUUAUGUUUCUGAUUUUGAGCUUAGCAUAUACAAUCCCAAACAAUCAUCAACAAGUAAAAAAGUCACCUGCAGCAACAAUUUGUGUGAACACCGUAAUCGCUGCCUUGGAACAUUCAGCAGUUGCCCUUACAUGGUCUCUUAUGUCUCUGCUCAAACUUCAACUUCUGGAAUUUUGGUAGAGGAUGUUUUGCACUUAACAACCGAAGGUAGUGAUCCAGAAUCUAUCAAAGCUUAUAUCACAUUUGGUUGUGGACAGGUUCAGAGUGGUUCAUUUCUGAACACUGCAGCUCCCAAUGGUUUAUUUGGGCUUGGCAUGGAGCAGAUUUCUGUUCCUAGCAUUUUAUCUAGGCAAGGUUUAACAGCUGAUUCCUUCUCCAUGUGUUUUGGGUCUGAUGGAGUUGGAAGGAUCAGUUUUGGGGAUAAAGGCAGUCCUGACCAAGAGGAGACCCCAUUUAAUCUGAAUCCAUCACAGUAAGUGGUAAUUCUUAUUUACUUGAUGGCUAACUUUAUACUUUUUGUUUUAGGUUGAAGUUUUAGCUAAUUAUUUUAGAUCUUAUGCCUGGAACCUUUUGUAGCCCAACCUAUAAUGUUACUGUCACUCAAAUUCGAGUAGGGACUACCUUAGUGGACGUAGAUUUCACAGCUCUUUUUGAUUCUGGGACAUCCUUUACAUACUUAAUUGACCCAACCUAUGCAAUAGUUUCAGAGAAUGUAAGCACUUCAAAAGCUGAAGAUCAAUUUUCACUUGGUCUCUAUGAGUAUCAAGUGCAUAAAUUAAGUUUUCAUGUUCCUUUGCAGUUCCAUUCACAGGCAAAAGACAGGCUACGUCCACCUGAUCCCAGGAUCCCCUUUGAAUAUUGUUAUGAUAUGAGUCUUGAUGCAAAUGCCAGUCUGAUACCUAGCAUGAGGUUAACUAUGAAAGGAGGAGGCCAUUUUGUUGUUUCUGAUCCAGUAAUUGUCAUAUCCACUCAGGUAAUAUUUUGUACAUAUCUUCUCAUCAUUACCUGUGUUGUCCAUGUGAAACAGAUAGUAAACAUUUUUCACUCUAUUUACUUGCAGAGUGACCUUGUAUAUUGCUUGGCUGUCGUCAAGAGUGCUGAACUCAAUAUAAUUGGACGUGAGUGUUGUAUCUUUAGUAUGGGUUUAUGAGUAAGAAUGGUUACAUGCUAAAUGGUAUCAAACUAUCAACACAAAUGAAUUGCAAAUGUUGGAAUAUUGACAUCUAAUGGAGUUGUGGUACUUAAAACUACGUAAACUUUUAAUGUAUUGAAAUUGAACUUUAUUGCUUAGCAUUCCAUGAUCAGAGAAAAUGAUGAUAGGCCAAUGAAGGAUCAAUUCUACUCUUCAGAAUUUAGGCUUCUCUUUUAGUGCCUUUAUCAGUGUACUGGGAUAUUUUACAUUCUCUGAAAAUAAGAAACCAAUAUCUUCAUUUAAUGCACUUAUUUAAGUUUCUUGAUCUCUUUGCAGAAAACUUUAUGACUGGCUACCGUGUUGUAUUUGAUCGAGAAAAACUUGUCUUGGGAUGGAAAAAGACAAAUUGUUAUGACAUUGAGGAUUAUAACAUGUUCCCAAUGGAACCCCAUGCUUCCAGUGUGCCUCCUGCUGUUGCUGCUGGAGUAGGUAACUAUUCAAGUCCACAAUCAGCAAAAGAGGGCAGGAAUAGCUCUCACAGUUUAGCUGCAUCACCAUAUUACAGUAGCAAUUCUUAUUUUGUAAUUAGCUUCAUAGUGUUCUUUACGUUAUGCAAUUUACUGUAGCCUAUUCUAUGGUCAUUCAUUUAUCAAGACAGCUGCAUGGUCAACUUUUAGGCCAGUUCCAGAUCGCUAGAAAUAUAAUCUUCUUCUGUCCUAGUUAUACCAGAAUUUUGUAACCUGUUGUUUCUUUCUCAUGAAGUCAUUUGUAAGCCAAAAAUCAUUGAUAACAGAUGUGGAUGCAGUGCUUAUUCAGGGUACAUCAUUGUGUAACUUCUUGUUGUACAUCAGCGUGCACUAUCCAAUAAUCCUGGCAAUCCAAUCCUGGUCGCAUUCGAACUUGAAUGGAAUCUUCAAUAGAGAAAAAAUAGCACACAGAAUGUAUUUCCCUCUUGAAUUUCUAUGCUUAGGUUGGCUGCGUAGAAGAAGAUAACGUUAGAUGUAAUUUUCACGUAUUCGCUCUAUUGAUAUGUUUGCCUAACAGCUCAUUUAUUGAUUUUAUGUGAUGGUGUAAGGGUGUGGCGGUAUAAAUUCAGAUGUUU